AGGGCUGCGGUAAUUUGACCGUGCGAAGGUAGCAUAAUCAUUAGUCUUUUAAUUGGAGGCUUGUAUGAAUGGUUGGAUGAGGGACAUUCUGUCUUUUUUUAAAGUGUGAAUUUAACUUUUAAGUGAAAAGGCUUAAAUUUUCUAGGGGGACGAUAAGACCCUAUAAAACUUUAUAUAGUUUGUGUUUAGUUUACUAAUUAAGUUUAAAGUUGGUUUAUAUGGAUUAUAUUUCGUUGGGGAGAUGUUUAUAUAAUUUGUAACUGUUUUUAAAAUUAAAUAAUUAUAAUUAGUUAAUGAUCCUUUAUUAGAGAUUUAAAGAUUAAGUUACUUUAGGGAUAACAGCGUAAUUUUCUCUGAGAGUUCUUAUCGACGAGAGUAGUUGCGACCUCGAUGUUGAAUUAAAAUUUCAGAUUGGUGUASCCGCUUUUCUGGUGGGUCUGUUCGACCUUUAAAAUUUU
This 458-nucleotide ribosomal RNA is filed under the name Diapontonia maranulus. RNAcentral's name for it is "partial 16S ribosomal RNA". It matches the Rfam family "Bacterial large subunit ribosomal RNA", at positions 1927 to 2597 of the family's 2925-position model. The record is from RNAcentral. Lineage: Eukaryota; Metazoa; Arthropoda; Malacostraca; Decapoda; Palaemonidae.